This 301-nucleotide ribosomal RNA is filed under the name uncultured bacterium. Its description in RNAcentral is "partial 16S ribosomal RNA". It matches the Rfam family "Bacterial small subunit ribosomal RNA", at positions 509 to 807 of the family's 1533-position model. The record is from RNAcentral.
CAGCCGCCGCGGGAAUACGAAGGGUGCAAGCGUUACUCGGAAUUACUGGGCGUAAAGCGUGCGUAGGUGGUGGUUUAAGUCCGUUGUGAAAGCCCUGGGCUCAACCUGGGAAUUGCAGUGGAUACUGGGUCACUAGAGUGUGGUAGAGGAUAGUGGAAUUUCCGGUGUAGCAGUGAAAUGCGUAGAGAUCGGAAGGAACAUCUGUGGCGAAGGCGACUAUCUGGGCCAACACUGACACUGAGGCACGAAAGCGUGGGGAGCAAACAGGAUUAGAUACCCCCGUAGUCCAUGUCUCUUAUAC